Molecule: long non-coding RNA, 4384 nt
Organism: Oncorhynchus tshawytscha (Chinook salmon)
Lineage: Eukaryota; Metazoa; Chordata; Actinopteri; Salmoniformes; Salmonidae
Exons: 3
Source: RefSeq, a predicted model, not a curated record
GUGAAGCCGGAGGACCACUAGCUUCCGUCCUCCUCUGGCUACAUUGACGUCAAUACAAAACCUAGAAAGCUCGUAGGCCUCACCCCCUUCCAUAGACAUACAUGGUGAUUAUGAUCACUUGCGGGGGACGUCCUCCAACCAAUCAAAGCUUUGCAGUAUGAACUGACAUGUUGUCCAUCCAAUCAUAGAAUUAAGAUCAGAGAACGAACCAAGUGAGUUGUAUUGGGAUUGUGCCACAGAGCAUUAUGGAGGUUCUAUGUGUUGAGAGGCUUGGUGACAUUGUUGAAUAGAGAUUAUGAGUGAAGAGUGAUAGUUCAGCAUUUUUUUGGGAUAUUAUUCAAUUCAAAUGCCUUUUUUCAAAUUACAGGAGACGGAGGAGGUAUAUUAUAAAUUGUUUUCUUGGUUUUAGAACUUUAUUUUUGCGUUCAGUUAGUGCAAUUUACUUACAUUUGCUUUGCAAACUUCAGUAGCUAGCUUACUACCAGCACGAGUGUGCAGUUUUCUCCGGCAGAAUGGUAGAAUGGCCUUUCUGUGGAGGAACUCCUUUCAUUCUCUGGGGUACACGGAAAAGGUGUGAAUUAAAAGCAAGGGUCGACCUCUGCCUGAGAACAGUUUCAUGAAGGCAGAUGAAAAAGGUGAGGGCGUUCAAUAAUAACUUGAACCAAAAGUAUAUCUGGUUAACAGUGAGCCUUUCAUCAGGCCACCUGUAUUGCUGGCCUUAUCUGCUUUUUGGAAAGUCUGAGCUUUGUUCGAAAGGUAGGUUCAGUGACCUGAAGAACAUCGAUCGUUCAGCUAAACAAAAAAACAAAAGCAGGGCAUGUAAGAAUUUGCUUUUAGGAAGACACGGCGAGAGGUAAAGUUCCGCCAACAAGGGCAGCUACAGAGCUUGAAGAGGUAACUGAACGUUAUGAAGCUUUCCUUGCUGAACAUAUGGAACUUGACUGUUUUUUCUGGGAUGUUGAAAACAAUUCCGAAUGAUUUGAUAGCUUCCAUUGCAUCAUCCAUCAAAAGUUAAUAUUAAAGAAAGGUUGACGCAGCGCAGUUUUUCGCAAGUGCUCAGCUAAGUCCCCUCCUGUUCCCUGAUUAAGAGGUGAUGACUACUCCACCCCACUACCAUUGUUAACUUUCUCAUGACAUCAACUGAAACCACGUCUCAUGUGCCCGCUCAUCCACUGGCUUUCCCCUCAAAGCACUUUUCUCUUCCCAGUCAAAUCCUGUCCUGCACUGGUCAAGCCUCUGAACACCUCAAUUUAUGCCUCAUACCCUCAUUCAGUCACUGCUGUGAUCCCUUUCCAACACUGUGUAAGUAGCCCUCGCAUUCCCAAUAAUAUUGUACUUUAACUGUCUUUAUUAAAUGCUUCAGGUUAAAGUACACGUUUUUGAAAUAAAGUUUGUAGUCUCUGUGCGUUCCACGCCUAUACUGUGGGUCUCCCAUCCUCCUCAAUUGUUCAAGUCACCAGCCUCCACUGCUAUGGACGCAACCCAGUCGUUCGAUCUAAAUGUUCCAUUGCCAUACUGACUGGCAACGUUCUUAUCCCUUGCUUGCUAGCUAGCAAACUAUGGCUAACUUAGUCACAUCAAACAGUGCAGCCAGAUUAACACCAAAGCAGCUGUAUUUGCUAAGCUGUUUUCUAGAGACAUUUGAAUACAUCCAAAACAAUGAGCUAAUGAUGUGCGAUUUCACCUGGCAUUGAACAUGUGCUCUCUCGUCAAGACACUUGUCCAGAGGAGCUAGUCAACAACACAGCUAACCACUUCAAACUGAAGCUGGAAAGACUGCAAACUAGCUGCAUUUCGUUUUGUUUUACCUGUUUUCUAUUGACAUUUCGUUGUAUAUAUCCCUAAAAAUGAUGCCAGUUGAUUCAUGAUUUCAACUGGCUGAGAAAAGCUGCCUGCCUGCCUGUCGGUCUCAUCCCGACUCGUUCAUUACUAUGGGACAUCUGACGAUCGAAUUUCAAUAUUGAAACAAUGUUGCAAAUGCCGGAGAGACAGAAAGCAAGGUUUAUACACUGUCUCCGCUGUUGAAAACCAAAUGCUAGUCUAAAUGUCGAUACUUUUUAAAGUGGAGAUCAAGUUUAUAAAUUGCCUUGCUGGGCUGAUGAGACUGUGGAUUGCGCAGUGAUAUGUAUAUGGAUAUGGAGUCAAUAGGCAUUUCAACAACAUAGCUUUAGCCAGUGGGAAUUUGUGGAAUAGACACUGGCUGGAAUGCAGUUUUAACCAAUCAGCAUCCAGAAAUAGACCCACCCGUUGUAUAAUUAAGCAAUAAGGCCCGAGGAGGUGUAGUAUAUGGCCAAUAUACCACGGCUAAGGGCUGUUCUUAUGCACAACACAACAUUCCUGAACCCAGCCGUUAGCCGUGGUAUAUUGGCCAUCUACCACAAACCCAGAGGUGCCUUAUUGCUAUUAUAAACUAGUUACCAAUGUGAUUAGAGCAGUAAAAAUACAUUUUUCUUCAUACUUAUGGUAGACGGUCUGAUAUACCACGGCUGUCUGCCAAUCAACAUUCAGUGCUCGAACCACCCAGUUUAUAAUGAUGCAUAUCCACUCAGACCAAAUACACGCUCCCUGUACUUUCCAAAGAUCUCCCAAGGGUCGUUCCAUGCAAUUUCAGCAAGCCAUGAAACCCACAAUCUCAAAUAGUUCUGAAAUCAUUUCUGUAGUUAGAAACAGAUAAGAUAAGCAUUUCUGCAACAUUCCUUUGCUGAAAAAUAUUUUUUUCUCUGAGAAAUGAAGCUAAUUGAUUGCACCCAAACUGGCCAUUUUAAUACAUAGGAUUCAUAUAUUAUUCAAUAAUUACAGUACUAACAUCUGAUUUGGACCAAACUUUUUUCUAACAAUGAGUAAGACAUUUUACAUUUAAGUCAUUUGGCAGAUGUUCUUACAGUAGGGAGUGCAUACACUUUCAUACCUUUUUCCCUGUGGGAAUCGAGUCCACAACCCUGGCGAUGCAAGCGCCAUGCUCUACCAACUGAGCAACACGGGACCACAUGAGGAACCCAAAGAAAUUGCAAAAACCCACACACAGACCUCCCCGUACCCCACACCAAACCGACCCCAACAAUGAGUAUAUAGUAGCAGUUCUCUGUGUUUGACAAGUAGUCCGGAGCAGUGGCCCUGAGUACUGUUUCUUCAUCCUAUCUAAUUCUUCCCCUGUUCAUAGAAAUUAAUAAUUGAAGUUAUGUUUAUGCCCCAUUCUACAUCCUCAUAUUACCAGGCAACUUCUGACCACUACAUGGUGCUGUUCCUGUUAUUAGGUGAUUGUUUUUAAAGAACCCCGCCCCAUGUUAAAGAGGUAGUUCACCCAAAUUACAAAAAAUACAAUUUUGUUUUCUUAUCCUGUAAGCAGUCUAUGGACGAGGUAUGACAGAAACCCACACUUUGGUUAUGUUUACCUGGCCACUGUUUCAAAUGCUAACUUUUUAGCAAUUGUGGCACAUCCAAUACAUUUACACCAUAGAUCCGUAUAUAAUGACGAGAUGCUCAUGUCUCCGCCCUAACAAUGGGAAUGGUUGUCCCAAAGGCAGGAAGGCAGGCGACAAGCUUAGAUCCCAAAUAAACCCAUAGAAACACAUUGGGAUUACUUUGGACAGAUGAUUUUGGCGAGUGAAAGCUCUCCCUGCCACUCAAACAACAAAUAUGAGAGAUCACUUCUUGGGCAAACAGUUUCAACUUGCCAUUUGCAUUUGAGGUUUGGUCCAACAGAAUCAGUCAUAUUGACACAGAAACACAUUGAGACAUUUUACUGUAAUAGAGAAGUUAACCUUUCUAACAAUAACCUUUAAUGUCUCAACUCCUCAAAUUACACGCAGAGCAGGAACCACUAAAACAUAAUGAACAGUGAUUCUGGAAAAUUGCUCAGUUUGUUGUGCGUACUGCUUGCAGCAUUUUAGCCAACGAUUGUUAUACUAGCUGUCUAGUCUGUGUUUUAUAAAAAUGUACAAUAAGCAUAAAACACAAUUAUAUAAGGAAUUGGUAACUCGUUCUCAUGCUAAGAAAUAAGGUUGGCCACUUGAUUUCAACAUCUGAACAAAGUGGACAGGCUAGCUGUUCAAACAGUCGGAGAUUGUUCUGCCUUGUUAGCUAGCCAAUAGAUCCAAGUUGGCUUAACUUGAAAAAUAAAGAUUAGCUGGCAACUCACUAGCACCGUAGGCUUGUGCUUGAGAGAUUGUUUAUGAGACCUGUGUUAAUUUUCUAUAAUGCCUACUACAAGAAGUUAUGCAUACUCCUCAUUCACAUACAACACCCAUUCUGCCGCCCACAUUCUGUUAAUUAAAGGUUCCCAAAGCACACACAUCCCUGGGUCCCUCUAUCUCCAUCUCUUCAUUCAAAGACUCAAUCUUACUGACAGUUGUGGCUGCUUCGCGUGAUGUAUUGUUGUCUCUAC